GACGAACGCUGUCGGCGUGCUUAACACAUGCAAGUCGAACGGUGAAGCCCAGCUUGCUGGGCGGAUUAGUGGCGAACGGGUGAGUAAUACGUGAGUAACCUGCCUUUAACUCUGGGAUAAGCCUUGGAAACGGGGUCUAAUACCGGAUACGACCAACCCUCGCACGGGGUGUUGGUGGAAAGGGAUUUUGUACUGGUUUUAGAUGGGCUCACGGCCUAUCAGCUUGUUGGUGAGGUAGCGGCUCACCAAGGCGACGACGGGUAGCCGGCCUGAGAGGGUGACCGGCCACACUGGGACUGAGACACGGCCCAGACUCCUACGGGAGGCAGCAGUGGGGAAUAUUGCACAAUGGGCGCAAGCCUGAUGCAGCGACGCCGCGUGAGGGAUGACGGCCUUCGGGUUGUAAACCUCUUUCAGCAGGGGAGAAGCGAAAGUGACGGUACCUGCAGAAGAAGCGCCGGCUAACUACGUGCCAGCAGCCGCGGUAAUACGUAGGGCGCGAGCGUUGUCCGGAAUUAUUGGGCGUAAAGAGCUUGUAGGCGGUUUGUCGCGUCUGCUGUGAAAGCCCGGGGCUUAACCCCGGGUUUGCAGUGGGUACGGGCAGACUAGAGUGCAGUAGGGGAGACUGGAAUUCCUGGUGUAGCGGUGAAAUGCGCAGAUAUCAGGAGGAACACCAAUGGCGAGGGCAGGUCUCUGGGCUGUAACCGACGCUGAGAAGCGAAAGCAUGGGGAGCGAACAGGAUUAGAUACCCUGGUAGUCCAUGCCGUAAACGUUGGGCACUAGGUGUGGGGAACAUUCCACGUUUUCCGCGCCGUAGCUAACGCAUUAAGUGCCCCGCCUGGGGAGUACGGCCGCAAGGCUAAAACUCAAAGAAAUUGACGGGGGCCCGCACAAGCGGCGGAGCAUGCGGAUUAAUUCGAUGCAACGCGAAGAACCUUACCAAGGCUUGACAUAUACUAGAUCGCCUCAGAGAUGGGGUUUCCCUUCGGGGCUGGUAUACAGGUGGUGCAUGGUUGUCGUCAGCUCGUGUCGUGAGAUGUUGGGUUAAGUCCCGCAACGAGCGCAACCCUCGUUCUAUGUUGCCAGCACGUAAUGGUGGGGACUCAUAGGAGACUGCCGGGGUUAACUCGGAGGAAGGUGGGGAUGACGUCAAAUCAUCAUGCCCCUUAUGUCUUGGGCUUCACGCAUGCUACAAUGGCCGGUACAAAGGGUUGCGAUACUGUGAGGUUGAGCUAAUCCCAAAAAGCCGGUCUCAGUUCGGAUUGGGGUCUGCAACUCGACCCCAUGAAGUCGGAGUCGCUAGUAAUCGCAGAUCAGCAACGCUGCGGUGAAUACGUUCCCGGGCCU
This 1348-nucleotide ribosomal RNA is filed under the name uncultured bacterium. RNAcentral describes it as "bacterial SSU rRNA". It matches the Rfam family "Bacterial small subunit ribosomal RNA", at positions 28 to 1381 of the family's 1533-position model. The record is from RNAcentral.